CUGCUUGAUAACCGCUUAUCAGCGACUUCGCAGAGGUCCAGUUAAGCAUGUUUAAAAAAAAUAAAUGUCCCUUCCUCCUCAGAAGCUAUACAUCGUGCAAGUGUGGCAGAGAGGCCAGAAAGCUGCCCUUCCACUGCAGCCCUCCAUCUCUCCACUCUCCUGGACUCUCACCCGUGAAAGAAACAACGAGGGGAUCUUGGUAACAGUGCUUCCUAACCUUCAGCCAUCUGCCGAUCUAACGCAGUGACAACUUGGGUCGCCAAUCCCAUUCUUUGCAAGGAAGCGGCACUGAUCUCUGUCUCAAGAGCAGAGACGAGUGGAGAAGAAAGGAAAGAGAACACUACAAGAAUGUGUGGAGGAAGGAGUGAGCGCGUGUGCCUGGGGAGGAGAGAAGCCAGUCAGAGCAGUGGCGGUUGCUGAGAAGUUCUGGCAAACUGGGGGUGACCACGAUGCAGAAGGCGACUGGCAGAAUCUAAAGAGCAAAUGGCCAAUCAAAUUAUGAAUCCUGAACAUUCACAAACAUAAAAUAGUGUAAGUAUACAAUUAUUCAUGGCAGCACUGUUUGCAGAACAUGUGGAUCAGGAGGGAAUUGGUAAAUUAAGUUGCAGUACAGGUAUCUAAAAGGGGCUGGGGUUAAAAGCAACUUUGUUACUGAUGAAGCAUCGGCCAGAGUGGCACAGCAGUAAAGUAACACCCUCCAAUGCUGAGACCACAGGACAGGUCUCCCUGCACAUGCUGGGCAGCCGUGCAUGCCCAUGAUCCCGGCUGGCGGAGGACCGUGACAUAAAGGCCCUGUUGGAAGUGUCUGUCUCUGACUUUCUCUCUC
This is a long non-coding RNA of Tupaia belangeri chinensis (Chinese tree shrew), 826 nucleotides long. RefSeq lists it as uncharacterized. The transcript has 3 exons. Lineage: Eukaryota; Metazoa; Chordata; Mammalia; Scandentia; Tupaiidae. The record is from RefSeq and is a predicted model, not a curated record.